This 348-nucleotide ribosomal RNA is filed under the name uncultured eukaryote. Its description in RNAcentral is "SSU rRNA". It matches the Rfam family "Eukaryotic small subunit ribosomal RNA", at positions 594 to 945 of the family's 1831-position model. The record is from RNAcentral.
AUAGCGUAUACCAAUUUUGCUGUUGUUAAAAAGCUCGUAGUUGGAUCUCGGUUUCGGGCGGGUGGUGCGCCUUGCGGCGUUUACUGUCUGCUCGGACGAUUUUGUUGGUUCGUUCAUGGUGCUCUUAACCGGGUGCCUUGAGUGGCCAGCACGUUUACUUUGAAAAAAUUGGAGUGCUCAAAGCAGGCGCUACAGCCUGAACAUUUGUGCAUGGAAUAAUGAAAUAGGAUCUCGGUUCUAUUUCGUUGGCUUUCGGAACUUGAGGUAAUGAUUAAGAGGGACAGACGGGGGCAUUCGUAUUACGGUGUUAGAGGUGAAAUUCUUGGAUCGCCGUAAGACGAACUACUG